AUUGAACGCUGGCGGCAUGCCUUACACAUGCAAGUCGAACGGCAGCACGGGUGCUUGCCCCUGGUGGCGAGUGGCGAACGGGUGAGUAAUACAUCGGAACAUGUCCUGUAGUGGGGGAUAGCCCGGCGAAAGCCGGAUUAAUACCGCAUACGAUCUACGGAUGAAAGCGGGGGACCUUCGGGCCUCGCGCUAUAGGGUUGGCCGAUGGCUGAUUAGCUAGUUGGUGGGGUAAAGGCCUACUAAGGCGACGAUCAGUAGCUGGUCUGAGAGGACGACCAGCCACACUGGGACUGAGACACGGCCCAGACUCCUACGGGAGGCAGCAGUGGGGAAUUUUGGACAAUGGGCGAAAGCCUGAUCCAGCAAUGCCGCGUGUGUGAAGAAGGCCUUCGGGUUGUAAAGCACUUUUGUCCGGAAAGAAAUCCUUGGCCCUAAUACGGUCGGGGGAUGACGGUACCGGAAGAAUAAGCACCGGCUAACUACGUG
RNAcentral lists this ribosomal RNA (486 nucleotides) under uncultured bacterium. Its description in RNAcentral is "partial 16S ribosomal RNA". It matches the Rfam family "Bacterial small subunit ribosomal RNA", at positions 30 to 507 of the family's 1533-position model. The record is from RNAcentral.